Molecule: long non-coding RNA, 883 nt
Filed under: Cervus hanglu yarkandensis (Yarkand deer)
Lineage: Eukaryota; Metazoa; Chordata; Mammalia; Artiodactyla; Cervidae
Description: lncRNA (ENSCHYG00000011080.1)
Source: RNAcentral
UAGUGACAAAGUGAUGGCCAUCAGCCUAGAGAGAAGGCAGACAAUCAACAGUAAAUAUAAUAACUAGAUAUACAGACAGUGAGGAGGGGAUAAAUGCCAAGAAAAAGAAAGAUGUUAUUUGAAACUGUUCAAUUGUUUCUCCGCCACCAGGUCUCACUUGGGAGGCAAAUCGUCUUCUGAAGGAGAAGAGGACCAGAAUGUUGAAGGCGGCAGGCUACAGGUAUCGCCAGUGGAGAAGAGCAAUGACCAGAGAAAUGAAGAAGCUGAGGGUGCUACAGAGCAUUCCGAAAGGGAAAUUGAAAAUGAUGGGGAAGUCACAGCCCAGGGGGACUAUGGAGGAAGCCAAGGGGAAAUGGAAAUGGAAGAGGAAUUUGAAUUAGAAGAGGAAUUAGAAUCUGAUUUGGAAGCCACGUCCCCUGAAGGGGAAGUCAGUUCUCCAGAUCUGGCUUCCUCAGACAUCAGUCCUGGGGACGGGCCCGAAGAAGAAGUUGACCGCACACACCCGUAUGAAGGAACAAGGAGGGAGAUGGGUCUUGAGGACAGAGAGGCCCCUUACCCAUCCAAAUCCAGCGGAAUGGGGUUUAUCGCCACAAUGCGCUCCCAGCAAGUAUUAGGCCUAUCUGAGCAAAUGAGCCAGGAAGCGCUCCGGCAGAAGGUCUUUCCUCUGGAGCCUGGGCAUCACCUCAGACAGAGCCCCGAGAGCAGCGACACAUCCCUGGGUCUUGACGAGCUGCCUCCGAGCACAGAGGUGCCCUUCACCCCGGAGUCAGGUACUACAGGACAAGCCACUUCCCGUCCCCUUCUGUGCGAGGGCUCCCACUCCUUCGCCCCCUGUUACCUCAUUUCCUGUUGGGCUAUGAGUCUAAAGAUAAAAAUGUCAUUA